This 1372-nucleotide ribosomal RNA is filed under the name uncultured bacterium. RNAcentral's name for it is "bacterial SSU rRNA". It matches the Rfam family "Bacterial small subunit ribosomal RNA", at positions 28 to 1381 of the family's 1533-position model. The record is from RNAcentral.
GAUGAACGCUGGCGGCGUGCCUAAUACAUGCAAGUCGAGCGAACGGACGAGAAGCUUGCUUCUCUGAUGUUAGCGGCGGACGGGUGAGUAACACGUGGAUAACCUACCUAUAAGACUGGGAUAACUUCGGGAAACCGGAGCUAAUACCGGAUAAUAUUUUGAACCGCAUGGUUCAAAAGUGAAAGACGGUCUUGCUGUCACUUAUAGAUGGAUCCGCGCUGCAUUAGCUAGUUGGUAAGGUAACGGCUUACCAAGGCAACGAUGCAUAGCCGACCUGAGAGGGUGAUCGGCCACACUGGAACUGAGACACGGUCCAGACUCCUACGGGAGGCAGCAGUAGGGAAUCUUCCGCAAUGGGCGAAAGCCUGACGGAGCAACGCCGCGUGAGUGAUGAAGGUCUUCGGAUCGUAAAACUCUGUUAUUAGGGAAGAACACAUGUGUAAGUAACUGUGCACAUCUUGACGGUACCUAAUCAGAAAGCCACGGCUAACUACGUGCCAGCAGCCGCGGUAAUACGUAGGUGGCAAGCGUUAUCCGGAAUUAUUGGGCGUAAAGCGCGCGUAGGCGGUUUUUUAAGUCUGAUGUGAAAGCCCACGGCUCAACCGUGGAGGGUCAUUGGAAACUGGAAAACUUGAGUGCAGAAGAGGAAAGUGGAAUUCCAUGUGUAGCGGUGAAAUGCGCAGAGAUAUGGAGGAACACCAGUGGCGAAGGCGACUUUCUGGUCUGUAACUGACGCUGAUGUGCGAAAGCGUGGGGAUCAAACAGGAUUAGAUACCCUGGUAGUCCACGCCGUAAACGAUGAGUGCUAAGUGUUAGGGGGUUUCCGCCCCUUAGUGCUGCAGCUAACGCAUUAAGCACUCCGCCUGGGGAGUACGACCGCAAGGUUGAAACUCAAAGGAAUUGACGGGGACCCGCACAAGCGGUGGAGCAUGUGGUUUAAUUCGAAGCAACGCGAAGAACCUUACCAAAUCUUGACAUCCUUUGACAACUCUAGAGAUGGAGCCUUCCCCUUCGGGGGACAAAGUGACAGGUGGUGCAUGGUUGUCGUCAGCUCGUGUCGUGAGAUGUUGGGUUAAGUCCCGCAACGAGCGCAACCCUUAAGCUUAGUUGCCAUCAUUAAGUUGGGCACUCUAAGUUGACUGCCGGUGACAAACCGGAGGAAGGUGGGGAUGACGUCAAAUCAUCAUGCCCCUUAUGAUUUGGGCUACACACGUGCUACAAUGGACAAUACAAAGGGCAGCGAAACCGCGAGGUCAAGCAAAUCCCAUAAAGUUGUUCUCAGUUCGGAUUGUAGUCUGCAACUCGACUACAUGAAGCUGGAAUCGCUAGUAAUCGUAGAUCAGCAUGCUACGGUGAAUACGUUCCCGGGUCU